GCUGGGGAUAUGGCUCAGUAGGUAAGUGCCCUGGNCUAGCAAUAGCCUGAAACUCAAAGGACUUGGCGGUGCUUUACAUCCCUCUAGAGGAGCCUGUUCUAUAAUCGAUAAACCCCGAUACACCUCACCACCUUUAGCAUAUAUCAGCCUAUAUACCGCCAUCUGCAGCAAACCCUAAAAAGGCCCUACAGUAAGCAAGAAAAUUUUACAUUAGUACGUUAGGUCAAGGUGUAGCCUAUAAGGUGGGAAGAAAUGGGCUACAUUUUCUACCUUUCUAGAAUAAACCCCCACGAUAGCUUUUAUGAAACUCAGAGCAUAAGGCGGAUUUAGUAGUAAGUUAAGAAUAGAGAGCUUAACUAAAUGGGGCAAUAAAGCACGCACACACCACCCGUCACCCUCUUCAAAUAUACUUCAAUACAAUUCUAUUAAUAAUUUAUUUUAUCAAAUAUAUAAGAAGAGACAAGUCAUAACAAGGUAAACAUACUGGAAAGUGUGUUUGGAAUAACCAAAAUGUAGCUUAUAAUUAAAGUACCCGGCUUACACCCGAGAGAUUUCACUUACUAUGAACAUUUUGAACUAAUGCUAGCCCAACUCUUAUUCCUUUCAAAUAUAAUUCACUUAAUAAAUAAAACAUUUACCUGAAUAAAGUAUAGGAGAUAGAAAUUUAUAUCUGGAGCUAUAGAGAAAGUACCGCAAGGGAAAGAUGAAAGAAUAAAUUAAUAGUACUAAAAGUCUUUUACCUUUUGCAUAAUGAUUUAACCAGAAAACACUUGACAAAAAGAAUUUAAGCCAAACACCCCGAAACCAGACGAGCUACUUAUGAGCAGCCAAUAAGAGCCUAUCCGUCUAUGUUGCAAAAUAGUGGAGCGACUUAUAAGUAGAGGUGAAAAGCCUACCGAGCCUGGUGAUAGCUGGUUGUCCAGACUAGAAUUUAAGUUCUGCUUUAAAUUUACCUAAAGCAUAAAUAAGCCAAAUGUAAAUUUAAAUGUUAUUCUAAAGAGGGACAGCUCUUUAGAGCCAAGGAAUUAACCUUAACUAGAGAGUAAAACUACUAACUUUCAUAGUUGGCCUAAAAGCAGCCAUCAAUUAAAAAAGCGUUAAAGCUUAAUCUAAUUAUUAAAAUUUAAUACCCAACUCUUUCAUAAUCUCCUAAAUCAAUACUGGACUAAUCUAUUUUACAUUAGAAGAAACUAUGUUAAAAUCAGUAACAAGAAAAUAUUCUCCCUGCAUAAGCUUAUAUCAGAUCGAAUAAUUCACUGAUAGUUAACAACUCCAUAAUAUUAAAUNAAGGGUGAGUUAAGACAGAGAUGAGGAUAAAAGGAA
This 1323-nucleotide long non-coding RNA is filed under the name Marmota monax (woodchuck). The stretch from base 507 to 575 matches the Rfam family "tRNA". The record is from RNAcentral. Lineage: Eukaryota; Metazoa; Chordata; Mammalia; Rodentia; Sciuridae.